This 1378-nucleotide long non-coding RNA is filed under the name Heterocephalus glaber (naked mole-rat). RNAcentral describes it as "lncRNA (ENSHGLG00100050668.1)". The record is from RNAcentral. Lineage: Eukaryota; Metazoa; Chordata; Mammalia; Rodentia; Bathyergidae.
CAGAAGGAUUCGGCAAGGGAAUACAUUAAAUACAGGACGUAUAACUUAUGAGGUUAUUAUUGUUGUUUUUUUGGUUCCGGAUAUCGAACUCGGGCCCUUUCGCUUGUGAGGCAGGCAAUAGAACCACUGAGCUAAAUCCCUGGCCCUUUAUGAGGUUAUUUUAUGAUAAUUACCCAAAGAGUCAAAUGCAAAGGAGUGCAAGAGAUCAACUGCACACUUGAAGCUCAAAGGAUUCAGCUGAGGGCCUAGAUCCCAGCAGUUUCCCACACAAGUCCAGCUGAAGGCUUGGAGUCCAGCCAGUGGCAAUGUCGCAUGCUUGUCCGUAUGGAGGAUCUGCACCUGGAAGGCCCAAAGGCCAGUGGUAGAAGCCAGAAAAUCUAUGCUGGUGAGAUGAAGGAUUUGUGCCACCAAGGUGAGGGAUCCACACUGGAGCCAGGAAGUGAUGCUCAUGGUGAAGAUCAGAGCUCCCCUGAUGAAAACAACAGCCAUUCCCAGCAACAGCGAGUUCCCAAGCUCCUCCUCUGAUGAGAACAUCCUAGUCUGCAUAGGAAAAACCAUCCGCAGCAAACUUCUCCUAGCAAAUCAACAGGCCAAGACCUUCCCCUUCAGUUCUCUUUUUACAGCUAUUGGUAACAAUCUUCAGGUGGAUCCUCCACACCCAGACCGUGCUGAUUCAGUUCAGCUGGGCGUUACAAGUUGACCAUUAGUCAAUCCACCACAGUGGGUUCAAAUCCUCUUGUCACUUCCAGCUGUGUGACCUUGGCAAGAGACUUAACCUCUGUGUUGCACUUCCCUUAUGUGUAAAAUGGAAAUACUGACAGAGAGGUCUUGAGGGAUAAAUCACAGAAGUGGUGGGCCAGGGAUUUAGCUCAGUGGUUCCACUACCUGCCUCACAAGCAAAAGGUCACGAGUUCAAUCCCUAGUACAAAAAAAAAAGAAAAUAGUGCCUAGGAGUGGGAGUUCCCAGUGUGCUGGUCCUAUUACUGCCCACUGCAAGUCCCUCUCUGCCACCGAGCCAGCCAGGGAGCACGGAUGAUGACUCCUCUGAGCCGACUCUCUCCGUGGCUCUGGGUUCUGCAGGCCCCGUGGGAGUGCACCAGAGAGAAGUCCCCCAGAAGACCGGAACCCUGCCCAACAGGAUGCAGCUCUGGAAGAUAGAGAAGUUGAGGGGCUCACCGGAACUCGGGCCUCCCGCCCACGAGACCAAAGGAGAUGAAGUCAGGCUGCCUGUUGGCCAGGUUGGUGCGGCUCCCUGGGCCCCGCUUCUGCCCAUUGUACAGCAGCAUCCCUGGGUGGGCACAGCUCAGUGAGAGCCCCCCUCCAGCCACAGGCUCCCUGUUACCCCCACCCUUUGAAUGAGUCAGGCUCUUGAGUCUUU